AAGUCGUAACAAGGUUUCCGUAGGUGAACCUGCGGAAGGAUCAUUAGCGAAGUCAAGUCCGACCUUAGUAGGAUUGUAGCUGGCUUAACCGCAUGUGCUCGUCUCAAAGGGUUCGGACCUUCACUACCACACCCCACUGUGAACCAAGCGGGAGGUCGAAAGGCCUCUUGCAUUUAUCAUAUACCCCAUCGUAUGUCUUAGAAUGUCAUAGCGUUAACUCGCAAAUAUACAACUUUCAACAACGGAUCUCUUGGCUCUC
This 259-nucleotide unclassified non-coding RNA is filed under the name fungal sp. RNAcentral describes it as "partial internal transcribed spacer region". The stretch from base 1 to 46 matches the Rfam family "Eukaryotic small subunit ribosomal RNA", at positions 1786 to 1831 of the family's 1831-position model. Lineage: Eukaryota; Fungi. The record is from RNAcentral.